AGGACGAACGCUGGCGGCGUGCCUAAUGCAUGCAAGUCGAGCGACGAAUAGGUGCGGGUAACCAAGCCUAUUACGGAGCGGCGAACGGGUGAGUAACACGCGAGCAACCUGCCCCCGCAGACCGGGAUAGCCCAGGGAAACUUGGAUUAAUACCGGAUAUUCUCUUCAAACCACAUGGUCCGAAGAGGAAAGCCUUUGUGCUGCGGGAUGGGCU
Molecule: ribosomal RNA, 214 nt
Filed under: uncultured soil bacterium
Lineage: Bacteria
Description: partial 16S ribosomal RNA
Rfam family: Bacterial small subunit ribosomal RNA
Source: RNAcentral